This 1235-nucleotide long non-coding RNA is filed under the name Ornithorhynchus anatinus (platypus). Its description in RNAcentral is "lncRNA (ENSOANG00000034130.2)". The record is from RNAcentral. Lineage: Eukaryota; Metazoa; Chordata; Mammalia; Monotremata; Ornithorhynchidae.
CUCAAGUUUCCAUUUGGGGUUUGUUCCCAGGAUAUUUUCAGUUGAAGCAAUCCUCAUCAACGGUAGGGAGGAAGACAUACCAAGCAAGGAGUGCCUCUCACUGCUCCAUCAUUAGAACCACUGCUAUGGAGAUGAGUGGAUAGGAAUCUUCCAAUUUCUAUUCUUUGUUUUCUUUGAUUCUUCAAGAUACAUUCUGCAUAUAGAAUUUUCCCCAAUGGUUUUUCCUUUCUAGAGAAAGAUUUGUCACCUGCUGAACCUCCCUUGAGCUGCUCAGAGAUCUAGGAGCUUUCCUGAACUGCCAGUAAUAGUGACUGUGAGCCUAAGUCCAUUGCUCCUGGUUCUAUGAUGUGUAUGAUAAGGGGUUCUUUUUUCUCCUCUGAAUGUCAAGCCUCGGAAAGGAUGAAGUACCCUGCUGAAUCUCAAGGUGGACUCAAAGGUGUCAAGUCUUAUGAUGGAGAGGUGGGGGUCUGGAGGACAAGGACUGACUUUCGUGAUGAAUCGGAAUGGAAACUGAAGUGUCGAGGUCCAGAGUAGAGCUAGCAUCUAGCUGUUUCCUAAACUAAGAUGAAGAAGGCUGCUCUCACACUGAACUUCAUCUUUCUUAGCUACCCAAUUCUCCAAUGAGGCACAUCCCAAUUUCAAUUCCACGUAAGUAGUUCUUUCUAAUUACCAUUUCCAGAAGACCUUAAAAUACCUAUUGUUAAAUCACAAAUAGCACCUUUGGGGUUUCACAAGAAGAAGAAUGAAAGUAUCAUAAUUAUUCAAAGUCUUUGCUAUACUCUGAAAAGACAAUUUAGGACCACACCAUAUUUGUUGUUAUUCCCCAAGGAUGUUUUGACUCUCUUUUUAAAAUUUUCUUCAAUUAUUCAUCCUUUCAUUUAUUUGCGAGUUCUUUGUUUAGGUUCAGGGUGUCUAGAAAGCAACAUAGAAAAAACAUCUUGUAAUGUGAGUAAUUGGAGGGCUUUACUUUGGUUUUCUCAUCCUGAGCAUAUCUAAUUUAUCAUUCUGCACCCUAAGUAUUGAAGGUUGCUGUGUGAUUUUGGGCAAGUCACUUAAUUUCCCUGUACCUCAGUCUCCUCAACUGUAAAAUGGGGAUUAACUCCCUCCUACUUAUACUAUGUGUCUAAGUAGAUUGGGUCCAACCUGUUAACUUGCAUCUACUCCAGCGGUUAGAGUAGUAUUUGACACAUACUAAGAGCUUAACAAAUACCAUUUAAAAAAAACAAUUUAGCUCC